GAUGAACGCUGGCGGCGCGCCUAACACAUGCAAGUCGAACGAUUAAAGCACCUUCGGGUGUGUAUAAAGUGGCGAACGGCUGAGUAACACGUGGGCAACCUGCCCCUCUCAUUGGGAUAGCCACGGGAAACCGUGGAUAAUACCGAAUACUUCGGGACUUCCGCAUGGAAGACUCGAGAAAGCUCCGGCGGAGAGGGAUGGGCCCGCGGCCUGUUAGCUUGUUGGUGGGGUAACGGCCUACCAAGGCAAUGAUGGGUAGCUGGGUUGAGAGACCGACCAGCCAGAUUGGGACUGAGACACGGCCCAGACUCCUACGGGAGGCAGCAGUGGGGAAUCUUGCACAAUGGGCGAAAGCCUGAUGCAGCGACGCCGCGUGCGGGAUGAAGGCCUUCGGGUUGUAAACCGCUUUCAGCAGGGACGAGGCGAAAGUGACGGUACCUGCAGAAGAAGCCCCGGCUAACUACGUGCCAGCAGCCGCGGUAAUACGUAGGGGGCAAGCGUUAUCCGGAUUCAUUGGGCGUAAAGCGCUCGUAGGCGGUCUGUUAGGUCGGGAGUUAAAUCCGGGGGCUCAACCCCCGUUCGCUCCCGAUACCGGCAGACUUGAGUUUGGUAGGGGAAGGUGGAAUUCCUAGUGUAGCGGUGGAAUGCGCAGAUAUUAGGAAGAACACCAGUGGCGAAGGCGGCCUUCUGGGCCAUAACUGACGCUGAGGAGCGAAAGCUAGGGGAGCAAACAGG
RNAcentral lists this ribosomal RNA (735 nucleotides) under uncultured Atopobium sp. RNAcentral's name for it is "bacterial SSU rRNA". It matches the Rfam family "Bacterial small subunit ribosomal RNA", at positions 28 to 776 of the family's 1533-position model. Lineage: Bacteria; Bacillati; Actinomycetota; Coriobacteriia; Coriobacteriales; Atopobiaceae. The record is from RNAcentral.